RNAcentral lists this transfer RNA (66 nucleotides) under Iotyrris cerithiformis. RNAcentral's name for it is "tRNA-Thr". It matches the Rfam family "tRNA". From Rfam's summary of the family: Transfer RNA (tRNA) molecules are approximately 80 nucleotides in length. Their secondary structure includes four short double-helical elements and three loops (D, anti-codon, and T loops). Further hydrogen bonds mediate the characteristic L-shaped molecular structure. tRNAs have two regions of fundamental functional importance: the anti-codon, which is responsible for specific mRNA codon recognition, and the 3' end, to which the tRNAs corresponding amino acid is attached (by aminoacyl-tRNA synthetases). tRNAs cope with the degeneracy of the genetic code in two manners: having more than one tRNA (with a specific anti-codon) for a particular amino acid; and 'wobble' base-pairing, i.e. permitting non-standard base-pairing at the 3rd anti-codon position. The record is from RNAcentral. Lineage: Eukaryota; Metazoa; Mollusca; Gastropoda; Neogastropoda; Turridae.
GCAACAAUAGCUUAAUUAAGAGCAAUGGUCUUGUAAGCCAAAGGUAAAUAAAAUAUUUUUGUUGUU